Molecule: long non-coding RNA, 467 nt
Organism: Anastrepha obliqua
Lineage: Eukaryota; Metazoa; Arthropoda; Insecta; Diptera; Tephritidae
Exons: 2
Source: RefSeq, a predicted model, not a curated record
GAAUUAUUAUACAUAUUUCGAUACGAAUAACUUUUAAUUAAAAUUAAAACUCUAAUUAAAGAGCUGAACAACCCAAACAAAAAAUUGUAUUAAGUGGUGUUGCGGUUCAGAAGAGCAUACAAAUUUCCUGAAGGUAGAGAAAAUUGUCCAGAUAGAGGACAAUUGGCAGACUUGGCGGAAAUUGAGCGGAAGCACCAUAGAGGCCGUGAAGUUGAGUGAGAGUGAACAGAGAAGUGAGAUAUUAUGGAGAAGCUAACAGCGACAGUCGAAACGCUGUAAACAUUGGCAUGUUAAUGAAAGAGAUGAUAAUGACGAAAAUAGAGCGGCCUAGCAGCGGCAGCUGCAUGCAGUGGUUGAGGUACCGAAAGGACGAAAAUAAACGGGAAUUCGAUGUGAACGAAAAAAAGUUAUAAAUAAAAAUCGUUUACCUACACACAACCACACAUAAGUAUACUCACAUAUAUGUA